This 1339-nucleotide long non-coding RNA is filed under the name Malus domestica (apple). RNAcentral's name for it is "long non-coding RNA (MDOM_LNC005876)". Lineage: Eukaryota; Viridiplantae; Streptophyta; Magnoliopsida; Rosales; Rosaceae. The record is from RNAcentral.
UUUAUUCAUUUAUUUAUUUUUAUUUUGAGAGUUUCUUAUUAUCAUUAAUAGGAUAAAUUUUACAUGUCUUUUGAGAGUUUAUUAAAUUACUAAUACUAGUAUAGUAUUAGUAUAGGCAAUAAGACAUCCCUACAAGUAUGAAAAAUGUGAAAGAAUAUAUAAACACUCGUGAUUCAUCGUUCCUCCACGAGUAAACAAUGGUUACACUUAAAUUAUCGUUUAGAUUUUUAAAACCCUCCAAACCGUCAUGAAUAGUGUUUUUUAUUUGAGUGUAAAAGUAAUCAAAUUAAUAAUAAUUAUUGUAGAAGUGUAAGAAAUGUAAAAAAAAAAAAAAAAAAAAAUAUAUAUAUAUAUAUAUAUAUAUAUACACAAUCACUCAUAGUGAUAAGCUUUACAACUUUCGUAAAGGGGUCAACUUCGAAAUCCGACACUAUAAUCCAUAAACCUUAAAUUUGUAUUUAUCCGUCGAUUGUCGUUUAGGCUUUAUUCUUUAUAUUUAAUUUCAUUUUUAAAAUUUUCUUUUUUGAAAACAUGAUCUUCUGGGGGAUGUAGGAAGAUGAACGGUUCGGAUCUUUGAUAUCAUGUCCUGAUAUUUACGGUUAAUUAAAAUAUGAGUCGAUGUUAUAUAGUUUGUAAAGACUUUAUAAACACCAAGCAAUAUUUUCACCAACGGUAAAACUCUGAACAUAAUAUCAAUGAUCCGAACCGUUCAUCUUCCUAUAUCUUCUAAUAGAUCAUGUUUUCAAAAAAGAAAAUCUUAAAAAACAAAUUUGGUGAGAAAAAUGAAGCAUAAAUGUAAACAACAAUUGACGGUUAAAUUUUGAUUUAUGAUUUAUAUGAUUAUAGUGGCACAUUUCAAAGCUAAACUCUUUACGAAAGUUGUAAAGCUUGUCAUUAUGAGCGUUUAUAUAUUUUUUCUAUAUUUUUCACACUUCUACAUUAAUUAAAAAACUAUUAAAGACUUUACUUAAACAAUAGCUAUAUGAUAAAUGAGAAGAUAGUGCUAAAGUAGAAAGCCUCACUAAAAAUAUCAUCAAUAUAACUCUUAUAGAUAAUAUAUCAAGCCAAAGUUCCAAUACCGUUUCCCAUGGCGAUUGAUGAAAAUUGAAGAGUUUGAUUGUAAGAAAAUGUGCAAGGUUCCAAACCUUGAAACAUAACUCUCUUAAUUUUGCAAAUCUUUUGAACAUUUGAUAUUUUGUAAUGUUCUAAUGUUUUUUUUAUGCUCUUAUUUUGGGUAUGUAACUAUGUAAUACUUGAAAGACAAAUGCGUUUUUAUGUUUUGAAUGUGAUAAUAUGGUAUGUAUAUACUUAUUUAGUAUUAUGUUUUUCAUUUGAUUAU